This 615-nucleotide ribosomal RNA is filed under the name uncultured bacterium. RNAcentral's name for it is "bacterial SSU rRNA". The stretch from base 1 to 519 matches the Rfam family "Bacterial small subunit ribosomal RNA", at positions 338 to 873 of the family's 1533-position model. The record is from RNAcentral.
CCUACGGGAGGCAGCAGUGGGGAAUCUUGCGCAAUGGGCGAAAGCCUGACGCAGCCAUGCCGCGUGAAUGAUGAAGGUCUUAGGAUUGUAAAAUUCUUUCACCGGGGACGAUAAUGACGGUACCCGGAGAAGAAGCCCCGGCUAACUUCGUGCCAGCAGCCGCGGUAAUACGAAGGGGGCUAGCGUUGCUCGGAAUUACUGGGCGUAAAGGGAGCGUAGGCGGAUAGUUUAGUCAGAGGUGAAAGCCCAGGGCUCAACCUUGGAAUUGCCUUUGAUACUGGCUAUCUUGAGUAUGGGAGAGGUAUGCGGAACUCCGAGUGUAGAGGUGAAAUUCGUAGAUAUUCGGAAGAACACCAGUGGCGAAGGCGGCAUACUGGCCCAUUACUGACGCUGAGGCUCGAAAGCGUGGGGAGCAAACAGGAUUAGAUACCCUGGUAGUCCACGCCGUAAACGAUGAGUGCUAGUUGUCGGCAUGCAUGCAUGUCGGUGACGCAGCUACGACAUUAAGACACCUCCGCCGUCGGGGAGGUACGGUCGGCGAAGAAGUUAAAACUAACGAAAGGAAAGUUAGACGGCGUGAGACGUGCCGACGGACGACGACGAGGGGAGGUUAGG